Molecule: ribosomal RNA, 468 nt
Filed under: uncultured bacterium
Lineage: Bacteria
Description: partial 16S ribosomal RNA
Rfam family: Bacterial small subunit ribosomal RNA
Source: RNAcentral
GACGAACGCUGGCGGCGUGCUUAACACAUGCAAGUCGAACGGAAAGGCCCUGCUUUUGUGGGGUGCUCGAGUGGCGAACGGGUGAGUAACACGUGAGUAACCUGCCCUUGACUUUGGGAUAACUUCAGGAAACUGGGGCUAAUACCGGAUAGGAGCUCCUGCUGCGUGGGGGGGGUUGGAAAGUUUCGGCGGUUGUGGCUGGACUCGCGGCUUAUCAGCUGGUUGGUGGGGUAGUGGCUGCCCAAGGCUUUGACGGGUAGCCGGCAUGAGAGGGUGAACGGGGACAUGGCGCCUGCGGUAGGCAGCAGAAGCCAACGGGAGGCAGCAGUGGGGAGUCUUGCACAGUGGGCGGAAGCCUGAUGCAGAAACGCCGCGUGCGGGAUGACGGCUUUCGAGUUGUAAACCGCUGUCGAAUGUGACGAAGCGUGCGUGACGGUAAUGGGUAAAGAAGCACCGGCUAACUACGUG